GGGGAUGUAAAGGUUUCGACGGGGGUGGCUGGAGUAUGGAUAGCGAGCCGGGGGGUCACCUAGCCCCGUUAGUAAGGUGAAAACGCUUUAAAUAUAAAAGCAAACGAAAACUACGCUUUAGCAGCUUGAUGCUAACCCCUGUAUUCUUAGCUCCCGCCUGAGAGUAUAAGGGGCCAAUUGCGGGAUACCUGAUGUCUGACUCCUGGAGGACUGAAGGGGAAAUUUUUCCAGGAUGGAAUGGACGGCGGUUGUCUGUGUCUGCCUAGAUUCGAGAUUUAAACAUUGACUGCGCUCGGAGAAGUCUAUAUGACAACGCUUUCGGACAGGAGUUCGAUUCUCCUCAUCUCCACCA
RNAcentral lists this transfer-messenger RNA (352 nucleotides) under Anaerovibrio lipolyticus. It matches the Rfam family "transfer-messenger RNA". From Rfam's summary of the family: Bacterial tmRNA, also known as 10Sa RNA or SsrA, is named for its dual tRNA and mRNA-like properties. Its role is to liberate the mRNA from a stalled ribosome. Lineage: Bacteria; Bacillati; Bacillota; Negativicutes; Selenomonadales; Selenomonadaceae. RNAcentral also lists the same sequence under 4 other names. The record is from RNAcentral.